GAUGAACGCUGGCGGCGUGCCUAAUGCAUGCAAGUCGAGCGAACAGACGAGGAGCUUGCUCCUCUGACGUUAGCGCGGACGGGUGAGUAACACGUGGAUAACCUACCUAUAAGACUGGGAUAACUUCGGGAAACCGGAGCUAAUACCGGAUAAUAUAUUGAACCGCAUGGUUCAAUAGUGAAAGACGGUUUUGCUGUCACUUAUAGAUGGAUCCGCGCCGCAUUAGCUAGUUGGUAAGGUAACGGCUUACCAAGGCAACGAUGCGUAGCCGACCUGAGAGGGUGAUCGGCCACACUGGAACUGAGACACGGUCCAGACUCCUACGGGAGGCAGCAGUAGGGAAUCUUCCGCAAUGGGCGAAAGCCUGACGGAGCAACGCCGCGUGAGUGAUGAAGGUCUUCGGAUCGUAAAACUCUGUUAUUAGGGAAGAACAAAUGUGUAAGUAACUAUGCACGUCUUGACGGUACCUAAUCAGAAAGCCACGGCUAACUACGUG
This 496-nucleotide ribosomal RNA is filed under the name uncultured bacterium. Its description in RNAcentral is "partial 16S ribosomal RNA". It matches the Rfam family "Bacterial small subunit ribosomal RNA", at positions 28 to 507 of the family's 1533-position model. The record is from RNAcentral.